AGAGUUUGAUCCUGGCUCAGGACGAACGCUGGCGGCGUGCUUAACACAUGCAAGUCGAACGGAAAGGCCCUUUCGGGGGUACUCGAGUGGCGAACGGGUGAGUAACACGUGGGUGAUCUGCCCUGCACUUUGGGAUAAGCCUGGGAAACUGGGUCUAAUACCGAAUACACCCUGCUGGUCGCAUGGCCUGGUGGGGGAAAGCUUUUGCGGUGUGGGAUGGGCCCGCGGCCUAUCAGCUUGUUGGUGGGGUGAUGGCCUACCAAGGCGACGACGGGUAGCCGGCCUGAGAGGGUGUCCGGCCACACUGGGACUGAGAUACGGCCCAGACUCCUACGGGAGGCAGCAGUGGGGAAUAUUGCACAAUGGGCGCAAGCCUGAUGCAGCGACGCCGCGUGGGGGAUGACGGCCUUCGGGUUGUAAACCUCUUUCACCAUCGGCGAAGCCUCUGGGUGUUCUCAGGGGUGACGGUAGGUGGAGAAGAAGCAC
RNAcentral lists this ribosomal RNA (486 nucleotides) under uncultured bacterium. RNAcentral's name for it is "bacterial SSU rRNA". It matches the Rfam family "Bacterial small subunit ribosomal RNA", at positions 8 to 493 of the family's 1533-position model. The record is from RNAcentral.